RNAcentral lists this unclassified non-coding RNA (248 nucleotides) under fungal sp. RNAcentral describes it as "partial internal transcribed spacer region". The stretch from base 1 to 46 matches the Rfam family "Eukaryotic small subunit ribosomal RNA", at positions 1786 to 1831 of the family's 1831-position model. Lineage: Eukaryota; Fungi. The record is from RNAcentral.
AAGUCGUAACAAGGUCUCCGUUGGUGAACCAGCGGAGGGAUCAUUACAAGAAGCCGAAAGGCUACUUAAAACCAUCGCGAACUUAUCCAAGUUGCUUCGGCGGCGCGGCUCCCCUCACGGGGGACUGCAGCCCGGCCUCUCAGGAGGUAUGGGGCACCCGCCGGAGGUACGAAACUCUGUAUUAUAGUGGCAUCUCUGAGUAUAACACAAAUAAGUUAAAACUUUCAACAACGGAUCUCUUGGUUCUG